UACGGAGGGUGCGAGCGUUGUCCGGAAUCACUGGGCGUAAAGGGCGCGUAGGCGGCGCGGGAAGUCAUCGGUGAAAGUUCAGGGCUCAACUCUGAAUCGGCCGGUGAUACUCUCGUGCUCGAGCACUGUAGAGGCAGGUGGAAUUCCGGGUGUAGCGGUGGAAUGCGUAGAGAUCAGGAGGAACACCGAUGGCGAAGGCAGCAUCCUGGCCGAGUACUGACGCUGAGGCGCGAAAGCGUGGGGAGCGAACGGG
This 253-nucleotide ribosomal RNA is filed under the name uncultured bacterium. RNAcentral's name for it is "partial 16S ribosomal RNA". It matches the Rfam family "Bacterial small subunit ribosomal RNA", at positions 524 to 776 of the family's 1533-position model. The record is from RNAcentral.